AGUGAACGCUGGCGGUAGGCCUAACACAUGCAAGUCGAACGGCAGCACAGGAGAGCUUGCUCUCUGGGUGGCGAGUGGCGGACGGGUGAGGAAUACAUCGGAAUCUACUCUGUCGUGGGGGAUAACGUAGGGAAACUUACGCUAAUACCGCAUACGACCUACGGGUGAAAGCAGGGGACCUUCGGGCCUUGCGCGAUUGAAUGAGCCGAUGCCGGAUUAGCUAGUUGGCGGGGUAAAGGCCCACCAAGGCGACGAUCCGUAGCUGGUCUGAGAGGAUGAUCAGCCACACUGGAACUGAGACACGGUCCAGACUCCUACGGGAGGCAGCAGUCGGGAAUAUUGGACAAUGGGCGCAAGCCUGAUCCAGCCAUACCGCGUGGGUGAAGAAGGCCUUCGGGUUGUAAAGCCCUUUUGUUGGGAAAGAAAUCCAGCUGGCUAAUACCCGGUUGGGAUGACGGUACCCAAAGAAUAAGCACCGGCUAACUUCGUGCCAGCAGCCGCAGUAA
This 506-nucleotide ribosomal RNA is filed under the name uncultured bacterium. Its description in RNAcentral is "partial 16S ribosomal RNA". It matches the Rfam family "Bacterial small subunit ribosomal RNA", at positions 29 to 523 of the family's 1533-position model. The record is from RNAcentral.